CCUACGGGAGGCAGCAGUGAGGAAUAUUGGUCAAUGGACGAGAGUCUGAACCAGCCAAGUAGCGUGAAGGAUGACUGCCCUCUGGGUUGUCAACUUCUUUUAUAAAGGAAUAAAACGAGGCACGUGUGCCUUUUUGCAUGUACUUUAUGAUUAAGGAGCGGCGAAAUCCGUGCAAGCAGCCGCGGUAAUACGUAUGAGCCGAGCGUUAUCAGGAUUUAUUGGGUUUAAAGAGAGCGUAGAUGGGUUGUUAAGUCAGUUGUGAAAGUUUGCGGCUCAACCGUAAAAUUGCAAUUGAUACUGGCAGUCUUGAGUACAGUUGAGGUAGGCGGAAUUCGUGGUGUAGCGGUGAAAUGCUUAGAUAUCACGAAGAACCCCGAUUGCGAAGGCAGCUUACUAAACUGUGACUGACAUUGAUGCUCGAAAGUGUGGGUAUCAAACAGGAUUAGAUACCCUGGUAGUC
Molecule: ribosomal RNA, 460 nt
Filed under: uncultured bacterium
Lineage: Bacteria
Description: partial 16S ribosomal RNA
Rfam family: Bacterial small subunit ribosomal RNA
Source: RNAcentral